GAUGAACGCUAGCUACAGGCUUAACACAUGCAAGUCGAGGGGUAACGAGAGGAAAGCUUGCUUUCCUUGUCGACGACCGGCGCACGGGUGAGUAACGCGUAUCCAACCUGCCCCCAACUAGGGAAUAACCUUGCGAAAGUAAGACUAAUACCCUAUAAUUUCCUCAGAUGUCAUCUGACGAGGAAUAAAGAUUUAUCGGUUGUGGAUGGGGAUGCGUCUGAUUAGCUUGUUGGCGGGGUAACGGCCCACCAAGGCAACGAUCAGUAGGGGUUCUGGGAGGAAGGUCCCCAACAUUGGAACUGAGACACGGUCCAAACUCCUAAGGGAGGCAGCAGUGAGGAAUAUUGGUCAAUGGGCGGAAGCCUGAACCAGCCAAGUAGCGUUCAGGAUGACGGCCCUAUGGGUUGUAAACUGCUUUUAUACAGGAAUAAAGUUAGCCACGUGUGGUUAUUUGUAGGUACUGUAUGAAUAAGGACCGGCUAAUUCCGUGCCAGCCGCCGCCGUAA
This 506-nucleotide ribosomal RNA is filed under the name uncultured bacterium. Its description in RNAcentral is "partial 16S ribosomal RNA". It matches the Rfam family "Bacterial small subunit ribosomal RNA", at positions 28 to 523 of the family's 1533-position model. The record is from RNAcentral.